UGAAUACGAGACGCUAAGGCGUCGAAGUAGUGUAUGUCAUACUUCCAAGAAAAGCUUGCACUGUCAUAGAUAAAAAACGCCUGUACCAUAACCGACACAGGUGGGUAGGUAGAGUAUACUAAGGGGCGCGAGAUAACUCUCUCUAAGGAACUCGGCAAAAUAACUCCGUAACUUCGGGAGAAGGAGUGCCUUAUUCUUAAGGUUGCAAUAACAAGAUCCAAGCAACUGUUUAUCAAAAACACAGGUCUCCGCUAAGUCGUAAGACGAUGUAUGGGGGCUGACGCCUGCCCAGUGCCAGAAGGUUAAAGAAGCUGGUUAGCAUUUGCGAAGCUAGUAACUGAAGCCCUGGUGAACGGCGGCCGUAACGAUAACGGUCCUAAGGUAGCGAAAUUCCUUGUCGGGUAAGUUCCGACCCGCACGAAAGGCGUAAUGAUUUGGAUACUGUCUCGGAGAGGGGCUCGGUGAAAUAGACUUGUCUGUGAAGAUGCGGACUACCUGCACCAGGACAGAAAGACCCUAUGAAGCUUUACUGUAACUUGAAAUUGAAAUUGGACUUUAUUCGCGCAGUAUAGGUGGGAGGCGUUGAUUAUAAUCUUGCGGGAUUAUUGGAGCCAUUAGUGAGAUACCACUCUUGUAAUGUUAGAUUUCUAACUUUGAAUCUUUAUCUGGUCAAAGAACAGUUUCAGGCGGGCAGUUUGACUGGGGCGGUCGCCUCCCAAACGGUAACGGAGGCGUACAAAGGUUUCCUCUGAACGGUUAGAAAUCGUAUCUAGAGUGUAAAGGCAUAAGGAAGCUUGACUGUGAGACCUACAAGUCGGGCAGGGACGAAAGUCGGUCUUAGUGAUCUGACGGUACUGAGUGGAAAGGCCGUCACUCAACGGAUAAAAGUUACUCUAGGAUAACAGGCUGAUCUCCCCCAAGAGUUCACAUCGACGGGGAGGUUUGGCACCUCGAUGUCGGCUCAUCGCAUCCUGGGGCGGUAGUACGUCCCAAGGGUUGGGCUGUUCGCCCAUGAAAGCGGUACGCGAGCUGGGUUCAGAACGUCGUGAGACAGUUCGGUCCAUAUCCGGUGUAGGCGUUAGAAUAUUGAGAGGAGCCUUCUUUAGUACGAGAGGACCGAGAAGGACAUACCUCUGGUGUACCAGUUAUCGUGCCAACGGUAGACGCCGGGUAGCUAUGUAUGGAGUGGAUAACCGCUGAAAGCAUCUAAGUGGGAAGCCCACCUCAAGAUAAGUAUUCUCAUC
RNAcentral lists this ribosomal RNA (1244 nucleotides) under metagenome. RNAcentral's name for it is "bacterial LSU rRNA". It matches the Rfam family "Bacterial large subunit ribosomal RNA", at positions 1564 to 2818 of the family's 2925-position model. The record is from RNAcentral.